CCAGUUUUCCGAGGAUU
Molecule: microRNA, 17 nt
Filed under: Corchorus olitorius
Lineage: Eukaryota; Viridiplantae; Streptophyta; Magnoliopsida; Malvales; Malvaceae
Description: hsa-miR-43
Source: RNAcentral